RNAcentral lists this ribosomal RNA (497 nucleotides) under uncultured bacterium. Its description in RNAcentral is "partial 16S ribosomal RNA". It matches the Rfam family "Bacterial small subunit ribosomal RNA", at positions 28 to 507 of the family's 1533-position model. The record is from RNAcentral.
GAUGAACGCUGGCGGCGUGCCUAAUACAUGCAAGUCGAGCGAACGGACGAGAAGCUUGCUUCUCUGAUGUUAGCGGCGGACGGGUGAGUAACACGUGGAUAACCUACCUAUAAGACUGGGAUAACUUCGGGAAACCGUAGCUAAUACCGGAUAAUAUUUUGAACCGCAUGGUUCAAAAGUGAAAGACGGUCUUGCUGUCACUUAUAGAUGGAUCCGCGCUGCAUUAGAUAGUUGGUAAGGUAACGGCUUACCAAGGCAACGAUGCAUAGCCGACCUGAGAGGGUGGUCGCCCACACUGGAACGGAGACACGGUCCAGAGUCCUACGGGAGGAAGCAGUAGGGAAUCUUCCGCAAUGGGCGAAAGCCUGACGGAGCAACGCCGCGUGAGUGAUGAAGGUCUUCGGAUCGUAAAACUCUGUUAUUAGGGAAGAACAUAUGUGUAAGUAACUGUGCACAUCUUGACGGUACCUAAUCAGAAAGCCACGGCUAACUACGUG